This 1391-nucleotide ribosomal RNA is filed under the name Melarhaphe neritoides. RNAcentral describes it as "16S ribosomal RNA". It matches the Rfam family "Bacterial large subunit ribosomal RNA", at positions 486 to 2814 of the family's 2925-position model. Lineage: Eukaryota; Metazoa; Mollusca; Gastropoda; Littorinimorpha; Littorinidae. The record is from RNAcentral.
UAUAGAAAUAUAAGAUAAAAUAGAUAUAGUUUAAUUUUUCUUUAAAACAUUCAUUAAUAUUGUAAAGGUGAUUGACAUUUUAUAUAUAUUAUCUUUUAAGUACUGCAAAGGAAAUAUUGAAAUCAAAAAUUAGUAGUAAUUAAACCACCUACCUUUUGUAUCAUGGUUUAGCUAGAUUUUCCUAUAAAUAUAACUUCUCGAAACUUGGUGAGCUAUCUUUUGCUGGUAUAAUAGUGCAUAAAGAUUAACUGUGGCAUAAUUUUUCUAAAAGCUAAAGAUAGAAAUGAAAUUUUAUUCGUACCAAGUGAUAGCUAGUUUUCCCUUUAAAGUAUAGAAGUACUAGAAAUUUUUUUCUAGCAUCGGGAAUGCGCCCGUGUUAAAACAUAAGUUUCUGCAAGUUUUAAAGGAUAAGCUUUAAAAUUUACUUCAAUAUAGCAGUUAUUAAAAUUUUAAAUUUAGGCUUGAAAAUAGCCAAAAUAUUUAAAUUUGUUAUAAUUUAUUUAAUAUUUUUUAAAAUAAUUGAUCUGCUUUAAAAAUAGGGAAUAGUUUCUAUAAAUCAACUGUAGAAACCAUUAAUGCUAAAAUGAGUAUUUAUUAAUUUAUAUUUUUUAACUUACUUAAUCUUAAAAAAUAAUUGUAUUAUGUGUAAAUAAAUUUUUAAAAAGGAAUUCGGCAAAAUUAUUGUUCUGCCUGUUUAGCAAAAACAUCGCUCCUUGAUUUUAAUUAAUAAGGAGUCGGACCUGCCCAGUGAUAAGUAUUUAACGGCCGCGGUACUCUGACCGUGCAAAGGUAGCAUAAUCAUUUGCCCUAUAAUUGAGGGCUAGUAUGAAUGGUUUGACAAGAACAAUACUGUCUCUUUCAAAAUUUCUAGAAUUUAUUCUUUAGGUGAAGAAACCUAAAUAAAAUUAAAAGACAAGAAGACCCUAUCGAGCUUAAACUCUUUUUAUAAAAUAAAAAAAAUUAAUAAUAUUUUUUGUUAUAAAAAAUUUUGGUUGGGGCGACUAAGGAACAAAAAAAGCUUCUUUAUUUAAUAAAGACAAAUGUGUAUUGAUCCAUAAAAUCUUGAUUAAAAGAAUUAGUUACCGUAGGGAUAACAGCAUAAUCUUUUUUAAGAGUUCUUAUCGAAAAAAAGGUUUGUGACCUCGAUGUUGGACUAAAAUUUCCUAAUAGAUGCAGACGUCUUUAAGGGUUGGUCUGUUCGACCAUUAAAAUUUUACAUGAUCUGAGUUCAGACCGGCGUGAGCCAGGUCAGUUUCUAUCUUUAAUUUUUAUAUUAAGCUUAGUACGAAAGGACCAGCUUAUAACAACUUUUGUUAAGACAGAUUCAGUCUAAUUAUAACAUCAGUUUUUACUAUAUAAAAGUAGCAAAUACGUGCAUUAGGUUUAAGCCC